Long non-coding RNA from Triticum dicoccoides, 810 nucleotides. RefSeq lists it as uncharacterized. The transcript is spliced from 5 exons. Lineage: Eukaryota; Viridiplantae; Streptophyta; Magnoliopsida; Poales; Poaceae. The record is from RefSeq and is a predicted model, not a curated record.
CGCCGCCCGCCCUCGAUGUGAUCGACGCCGACGAGGUUCCGUCAUCGACAUAUAUCUCGACAAGGUACUAGGUGAGAGGAACGUUCCCAUCAGGCCAAACAGCGAGAGGAACAAUUCCAUCAGGCUAAAUGUCAAGCAGCAGCCAUGCCUGACGCAUACGACAUCAUGCCUUGCCGAGUGGUACUGUCGAUUCAACUCGGAUGCAGCAGUACACACGUACUCUCCUCUUUCUGAUCAGGAAUGCGGUGAAGGCAGGUGCUCUAAUAAGGUGAAAGAAAUACGAAAGGGAGAAGUCAAAGCUUGUGAAGAAAUGUAGCACUUCCAAGUUGUUGGCCGAUGAUGAUGAUGAUAAGAUUGACAACCACAUGACGAGCUCGCCGAGUGCAUCCUCUAAGGGUACGAAGCGUUUUCGGAGGAAGACUGAAGACCAAGAGGAUGGGAAUGAUGAUGGAAACAAUAGCAAAUAUUUACGAGAGGAGUCCAAAGGAGAACACAAUAAAUGGAUAAUGAAGGCGGUGUGGACACUCUUGAUGUAUGCCAUUCUUUCUUGGAUCUGAUCUUUUUUAUACAUAAAAACACAUAGGUAUGGAAUAGUCAAUUAAAAUGUACAACAUCGCCUUGCCCAAAAAACAAGUUUUGAUGCGUCUUAUUUUAGGUCAACAUCAAGUGUAUUUUUGUUAAUUUAGAUAUUGUUGCUUGGAUUGGGGAGAUGGACAGGCUAAGAUAGUGAGUGUAGGAAGAAGACUGGUGUAAUGAAAAGUUGACAAUGCAUCUGAUAUGCAUGAGGAUAUAAUCAAUGUUAAACCACUA